Long non-coding RNA from Ornithodoros turicata, 501 nucleotides. RefSeq lists it as uncharacterized. The record is from RefSeq and is a predicted model, not a curated record. NCBI's taxonomy places the organism in Eukaryota, Metazoa, Arthropoda, Arachnida, Ixodida, Argasidae. The transcript has 4 exons.
CUGACACGCAAAGACAAAGGAACACGUUUGAAAGUAGGAUGCAUGCAAGUUAGUGGUAGAUCCAAGAAGUACCUGUACCCGUUUGCUGAGACACAGCUCGUCACGGGAAACCCUGAAGAAAACAACGGUUCGCUCCCUGCCUCUCAAGCGGCCAUCACAUCGACAUGCACGUUGCUAUCAUCAUCAUUUUCAUCCUCUGCAGUUUAGAAGCGGUACUGGUGGCAGGUGUCAUGUGUAGAUAUCCUCAUGACUGUUCCCAUCGGAAUGUGGAAGUGGAUUGCCAGUAUGGCCGGGAGUGGACGUGGUACCGCGACGGUAACACAUGUGUGAAACGUCGACGGUGGAAGUGUGGAUCAGGUUGCAACUCUUUCAACUCAGAAGGCCAAUGUGAAACAUCCUGCAAGUCCAUCUGGUGGUGGUGCAAGUGAGACGAAGAUCACCAACAGACGGCCACACCUGCCGUCGAAUCAUGGUGGAGAUUAAUAAAACGUAUUAACCGAG